This 253-nucleotide ribosomal RNA is filed under the name uncultured bacterium. RNAcentral describes it as "partial 16S ribosomal RNA". It matches the Rfam family "Bacterial small subunit ribosomal RNA", at positions 524 to 776 of the family's 1533-position model. The record is from RNAcentral.
UACGUAGGGUGCGAGCGUUGUCCGGAAUUAUUGGGCGUAAAGGGCUCGUAGGCGGUCUGUCACGUCAGGAGUGAAAACUCGGGGCUCAACCCCGAGCCUGCUUCUGAUACGGGCAGACUGGAGGUAUGCAGGGGAGAACGGAAUUCCUGGUGUAGCGGUGAAAUGCGCAGAUAUCAGGAGGAACACCGGUGGCGAAGGCGGUUCUCUGGGCAUUACCUGACGCUGAGGAGCGAAAGUGUGGGGAGCAAACAGG